CACAGAUGGAUGUGAGGAAUUGUGGCUGUAAGAGCCUGGUGGAGCCUGAAAAGGAAUCGACAAUUCCUACUGUCAUUUUAGGGGGCUCUUUCCUCCUCCCAGCACAGCCUUGGCAGAGAGAAGCCCAAGUUCUGAAGGAGUGUCCCAGAGACCCGUGACUCCUCUCGCAGUCAGCAGGUUCAGCCAGUGUCUGUGCAGACCCUGUGUCUCUACAAGAAAUUGCAUUUUCCUGUGACACAAUCCUGAUGGCACUGCAAGAGAGUCCCCAAAGUGAAUCAUGAUGGAAAGGGACCCUCUGGACAUGAC
Molecule: long non-coding RNA, 306 nt
Organism: Passer domesticus (house sparrow)
Lineage: Eukaryota; Metazoa; Chordata; Aves; Passeriformes; Passeridae
Exons: 3
Source: RefSeq, a predicted model, not a curated record